Molecule: ribosomal RNA, 301 nt
Filed under: uncultured bacterium
Lineage: Bacteria
Description: partial 16S ribosomal RNA
Rfam family: Bacterial small subunit ribosomal RNA
Source: RNAcentral
CAGUCGCCGCGGGAAUACGGAGGAUCCAAGCGUUAUCCGGAAUCAUUGGGUUUAAAGGGUCCGUAGGCGGUCUUGUAAGUCAGUGGUGAAAGCCCAUCGCUCAACGGUGGAACGGCCAUUGAUACUGCAGGACUUGAAUUAUUGGGAAGUAACUAGAAUAUGUAGUGUAGCGGUGAAAUGCUUAGAGAUUACAUGGAAUACCAAUUGCGAAGGCAGGUUACUACCAAUUGAUUGACGCUGAUGGACGAAAGCGUGGGUAGCGAACAGGAUUAGAUACCCCGGUAGUCCCUGUCUCUUAUAC